GACGAACGCUGGCGGCGUGCUUAACACAUGCAAGUCGAACGGAAAGGCCCCCAUCUUGGUGGGGGUGCUCGAGUGGCGAACGGGUGAGUAACACGUGGGUGAUCUGCCCUGUACUUCGGGAUAAGCUUGGGAAACUGGGUCUAAUACCGGAUAGGACCAUGGUUUAGUGUCUCAUGGUGGAAAGAUUAUUGUUUUGGUGCAGGAUGAGCUCGCGGCCUAUCAGCUUGUUGGUGGGGUAAUGGCCUACCAAGGCGUCGACGGGUAGCCGGCCUGAGAGGGUGGACGGCCACAUUGGGACUGAGAUACGGCCCAGACUCCUACGGGAGGCAGCAGUGGGGAAUAUGGCACAAUGGGCGCAAGCCUGAUGCAGCGACGCCGCGUGGGGGAUGACGGCCUUCGGGUUGUAAACUCCUUUCGGUAGGGACGAAGCCACGCUUUUGGGGUGUGGUGACGGUACCUUUGUUAAGAAGCACCGGCUAACUACGUG
RNAcentral lists this ribosomal RNA (487 nucleotides) under uncultured bacterium. RNAcentral's name for it is "partial 16S ribosomal RNA". It matches the Rfam family "Bacterial small subunit ribosomal RNA", at positions 28 to 507 of the family's 1533-position model. The record is from RNAcentral.